GAAGGCCCAGACAGCCAGGAUGUUGGCUUAGAAGCAGCCAUCAUUUAAAGAAAGCGUAAUAGCUCACUGGUCGAGUCGGCCUGCGCGGAAGAUGUAACGGGGCUAAACCAUGCACCGAAGCUGCGGCAGCGAACGUAUCACCCAAGACAACUUUACGGAGUUGACGAUUGACGGAGCGAAGCGACGUCAAAGCGUUCAUUAAAGUCGAGUUGGCUUAGGGAUACGUUCGUUGGGUAGGGGAGCGUUCUGUAAGCCUGUGAAGGUGUGUCGUGAGGCAUGCUGGAGGUAUCAGAAGUGCGAAUGCUGACAUAAGUAACGAUAAAGCGGGUGAAAAGCCCGCUCGCCGGAAGACCAAGGGUUCCUGUCCAACGUUAAUCGGGGCAGGGUGAGUCGACCCCUAAGGCGAGGCCGAAAGGCGUAGUCGAUGGGAAACGGGUUAAUAUUCCCGUACUUGGUGUUACUGCGAAGGGGGGACGGAGAAGGCUAUGUUGGCCGGGCGACGGUUGUCCCGGUUUAAGCGUGUAGGUGUGUGUUCCAGGUAAAUCCGGUUCACUUUAACACUGAGGCGUGACGACGAGGCACUACGGUGCUGAAGCAACAAAUGCCCUGCUUCCAGGAAAAGCCUCUAAGCAUCAGGUAACAUCAAAUCGUACCCCAAACCGACACAGGUGGUCAGGUAGAGAAUACCAAGGCGCUUGAGAGAACUCGGGUGAAGGAACUAGGCAAAAUGGUGCCGUAACUUCGGGAGAAGGCACGCUGACACGUAGGUGAAGUGAUUUACUCAUGGAGCUGAA
This 794-nucleotide ribosomal RNA is filed under the name Salmonella enterica subsp. enterica serovar Typhimurium. Its description in RNAcentral is "partial 23S ribosomal RNA". It matches the Rfam family "Bacterial large subunit ribosomal RNA", at positions 1079 to 1781 of the family's 2925-position model. Lineage: Bacteria; Pseudomonadati; Pseudomonadota; Gammaproteobacteria; Enterobacterales; Enterobacteriaceae. The record is from RNAcentral.